ACCCCGGUGAGAAUGCCCUCCCUCUUCCGAGCGAAGACAAGGAGCCGAUAUCAGGCACGACCUCGUUGGUCAGCCCACAACAUCUUGCUUAGCCACCCCCCUACGGGUCUUCAGCAGUGACAAACAUUAAGCUAUGAGUGAAAACUUGACUUAGUUAGAGCUAAGAGGGUCGGUUAAUUUCGUGCCAGCCACCGCGGUUACACGAAAGACCCAAGUUGACAGACAACGGCGUAAAGAGUGGUUAGGGAUAUUUAGACUAAAGCCGAAGGCCCUCAAAGCAGUUAUACGCUCACGAGAGUACGAAGCCCACCUACGAAAGUGGCUUUAUUAACCCCUGAACCCACGAAAGCUAUGGUACAAACUGGGAUUAGAUACCCCAUUAUGCUUAGCCCUAAACAUUGAUAGUAAACUUACAUAAACUAUCCGCCUGGGUACUACGAGCAGAAGCUUAAAACCCAAAGGACUUGACGGUGCUUUAGACCCACCUAGAGGAGCUUGUUCUAGAACCGAUACUCCACGUUAAACCUUACCUUUUCUUGCUAAUUCCGCCUAUAUACCGCCGUCGUCAGCUUACCCUGCAAAGGACAAGCAGUAAGCUCAAUUGGCACAGCCCAAAACGCCAGGUCGAGGUGUAGCGUAUGAAAAGGAAUGAAAUGGGCUACAUUCAAUCAAGCAAUGAAUACGAAUGAUGAACUUGAAACAGUCAUCUGAAGGAGGAUUUAGCAGUAAAAGGAAAGCAGAGUGUUCCUUUGAAGCAGGCUCUAAAGCGCGUACACACCGCCCGUCACUCUCCCCGAGAACAAUAACCCUGUAAAUAACCCUACAAAAUAAAUAAGGGGAGGCAAGUCGUAACAUGGUAAGUGUACCGGAAGGUGCACUUGGAAUAACUUU
This 891-nucleotide non-coding RNA is filed under the name Pseudocheilinus evanidus (striated wrasse). RNAcentral describes it as "partial 12S rRNA". It matches the Rfam family "Bacterial small subunit ribosomal RNA", at positions 214 to 1533 of the family's 1533-position model. The record is from RNAcentral. Lineage: Eukaryota; Metazoa; Chordata; Actinopteri; Labriformes; Labridae.